This 1206-nucleotide ribosomal RNA is filed under the name Escherichia coli. RNAcentral describes it as "partial 23S ribosomal RNA". It matches the Rfam family "Bacterial large subunit ribosomal RNA", at positions 1 to 1239 of the family's 2925-position model. The record is from RNAcentral. Lineage: Bacteria; Pseudomonadati; Pseudomonadota; Gammaproteobacteria; Enterobacterales; Enterobacteriaceae.
GGGUUGUGAGGUUAAGCGACUAAGCGUACACGGUGGAUGCCCUGGCAGUCAGAGGCGAUGAAGGACGUGCUAAUCUGCGAUAAGCGUCGGUAAGGUGAUAUGAACCGUUAUAACCGGCGAUUUCCGAAUGGGGAAACCCAGUGUGAUUCGUCACACUAUCAUUAACUGAAUCCAUAGGUUAAUGAGGCGAACCGGGGGAACUGAAACAUCUAAGUACCCCGAGGAAAAGAAAUCAACCGAGAUUCCCCCAGUAGCGGCGAGCGAACGGGGAGGAGCCCAGAGCCUGAAUCAGUGUGUGUGUUAGUGGAAGCGUCUGGAAAGGCGCGCGAUACAGGGUGACAGCCCCGUACACAAAAAUGCACAUACUGUGAGCUCGAUGAGUAGGGCGGGACACGUGGUAUCCUGUCUGAAUAUGGGGGGACCAUCCUCCAAGGCUAAAUACUCCUGACUGACCGAUAGUGAACCAGUACCGUGAGGGAAAGGCGAAAAGAACCCCGGCGAGGGGAGUGAAAAAGAACCUGAAACCGUGUACGUACAAGCAGUGGGAGCCUCUUUUAUGGGGUGACUGCGUACCUUUUGUAUAAUGGGUCAGCGACUUAUAUUCUGUAGCAAGGUUAACCGAAUAGGGGAGCCGAAGGGAAACCGAGUCUUAACCGGGCGUUAAGUUGCAGGGUAUAGACCCGAAACCCGGUGAUCUAGCCAUGGGCAGGUUGAAGGUUGGGUAACACUAACUGGAGGACCGAACCGACUAAUGUUGAAAAAUUAGCGGAUGACUUGUGGCUGGGGGUGAAAGGCCAAUCAAACCGGGAGAUAGCUGGUUCUCCCCGAAAGCUAUUUAGGUAGCGCCUCGUGAAUUCAUCUCCGGGGGUAGAGCACUGUUUCGGCAAGGGGGUCAUCCCGACUUACCAACCCGAUGCAAACUGCGAAUACCGGAGAAUGUUAUCACGGGAGACACACGGCGGGUGCUAACGUCCGUCGUGAAGAGGGAAACAACCCAGACCGCCAGCUAAGGUCCCAAAGUCAUGGUUAAGUGGGAAACGAUGUGGGAAGGCCCAGACAGCCAGGAUGUUGGCUUAGAAGCAGCCAUCAUUUAAAGAAAGCGUAAUAGCUCACUGGUCGAGUCGGCCUGCGCGGAAGAUGUAACGGGGCUAAACCAUGCACCGAAGCUGCGGCAGCGACACUGUGUGUUGUUGGGUAGGGGAGCGU